AGUGAACGCUGGCGGUAGGCCUAACACAUGCAAGUCGAACGGCAGCACAGGAGAGCUUGCUCUCUGGGUGGCGAGUGGCGGACGGGUGAGGAAUACAUCGGAAUCUGCCCAGUCGUGGGGGAUAACGUAGGGAAACUUACGCUAAUACCACAUACGACCUUCGGGUGAAAGAGGGGGAUCGCAAGACCUCUCGCGAUUGGAUGAGCCGAUGUCGGAUUAGCUAGUUGGCGGGGUAAUGGCCCACCAAGGCGACGAUCCGUAGCUGGUCUGAGAGGAUGAUCAGCCACACUGGAACUGAGACACGGUCCAGACUCCUACGGGAGGCAGCAGUGGGGAAUAUUGGACAAUGGGCGCAAGCCUGAUCCAGCCAUACCGCGUGGGUGAAGAAGGCCUUCGGGUUGUAAAGCCCUUUUGUUGGGAAAGAAAUCUUUCAGGCUAAUACCCUGGGAGGAUGACGGUACCCAAAGAAUAAGCACCGGCUAACUUCGUG
This 490-nucleotide ribosomal RNA is filed under the name uncultured bacterium. RNAcentral describes it as "partial 16S ribosomal RNA". It matches the Rfam family "Bacterial small subunit ribosomal RNA", at positions 29 to 507 of the family's 1533-position model. The record is from RNAcentral.